GGAGAGAUGGCAGAGCGGUCUAAUGCGGCGGUCUUGAAAACCGUUGACCCAAAAGGUCCGGGGGUUCGAAUCCCUCUCUCUCCGCCA
This 87-nucleotide transfer RNA is filed under the name Chitinophagaceae bacterium. RNAcentral describes it as "tRNA-Ser". It matches the Rfam family "tRNA". Rfam says of the family: Transfer RNA (tRNA) molecules are approximately 80 nucleotides in length. Their secondary structure includes four short double-helical elements and three loops (D, anti-codon, and T loops). RNAcentral also lists the same sequence under 2 other names. Lineage: Bacteria; Pseudomonadati; Bacteroidota; Chitinophagia; Chitinophagales; Chitinophagaceae. The record is from RNAcentral.